GAUGAACGCUAGCUACAGGCUUAACACAUGCAAGUCGAGGGGAAACGACAUCGAAAGCUUGCUUUUGAUGGGCGUCGACCGGCGCACGGGUGAGUAACGCGUAUCCAACCUGCCCAUCACUUGGGGAUAACCUUGCGAAAGUAAGACUAAUACCCAAUGACGUCUCUAGAAGACAUCUGAAAGGGAUUAAAGAUUUAUCGGUGAUGGAUGGGGAUGCGUCUGAUUAGCUUGUUGGCGGGGUAACGGCCCACCAAGGCAACGAUCAGUAGGGGUUCUGAGAGGAAGGUCCCCCCANAUUGGAACUGAGACACGGUCCAAACUCCUACGGGAGGCAGCAGUGAGGAAUAUUGGUCAAUGGGCGAAGCCUGAACCAGCCAAGUAGCGUGAGGGAAGACUGCCCUACGGGUUGUAAACUGCUUUUAUAAGGGAUAAAGUGUGCCAUGUAUGGCAUUUUGCAGGUACCGCAUGAAUAGGACCGGCUAAUUCCGUG
This 490-nucleotide ribosomal RNA is filed under the name uncultured bacterium. RNAcentral describes it as "bacterial SSU rRNA". It matches the Rfam family "Bacterial small subunit ribosomal RNA", at positions 28 to 507 of the family's 1533-position model. The record is from RNAcentral.